GAUUUCUGGUUAAGUAACGCUAGCCCGCCCUUGCCAGGGGUGUGCGCUGGUUAGUUGCUUGCCAUCUUUCUAGAAAGCCAGCGUUUGUCAUUCACUUGGCGGACGUGACGCGAUCUAGAUCUUUUACUUUGAAAAAAUUAGAGUGUUUAAAGCAGGCUUGCGCUAUGAAUACAUUAGCAUGGAAUAAUAAUUUAGGACUUUGGUCUUAUUUUGUUGGUUUCUAGGACUAAAGUAAUGAUUGAUAGGGACAGUUGGGGGUGCUAGUAUUCAGCGGCCAGAGGUGAAAUUCUUGGAUUCGCUGAAGACUAACUUAUGCGAAAGCAUU
RNAcentral lists this ribosomal RNA (325 nucleotides) under Cercozoa sp. RNAcentral's name for it is "SSU rRNA". The stretch from base 51 to 325 matches the Rfam family "Eukaryotic small subunit ribosomal RNA", at positions 679 to 955 of the family's 1831-position model. The record is from RNAcentral. Lineage: Eukaryota; Cercozoa. RNAcentral also lists the same sequence under 2 other names.